UCAACUGGGCACAGUCAGAGG
Molecule: unclassified non-coding RNA, 21 nt
Filed under: Mus musculus (house mouse)
Lineage: Eukaryota; Metazoa; Chordata; Mammalia; Rodentia; Muridae
Description: oocyte_clustered_small_RNA8457
Source: RNAcentral